Long non-coding RNA from Gadus macrocephalus (Pacific cod), 1337 nucleotides. RefSeq lists it as uncharacterized. The record is from RefSeq and is a predicted model, not a curated record. NCBI's taxonomy places the organism in Eukaryota, Metazoa, Chordata, Actinopteri, Gadiformes, Gadidae. The transcript has 2 exons.
CUAUGGAGGUAGAUUUGUGUCUUUAUUAUGCAAUCAAAAAUAAUAGGUUUGAGAGCAAAACUUUCCACACUGCAAUCAAAAAAUGUUUUAUUGCAAGAUAAAUUAAUGUGAUAAAAAAAAUAUUAAUGGGAAUCCAAAAGUUUUGUUUGCAAACCCAAAAGUUUUGUUUGCAAAUCCAAAAGUUUUGUUUGCAAAUCCAAAAGUUUUGUUUGCGAAUCCAAAAGUUUUGUUUGCGAAUCCAAAAGCUUUGUUUGCGAAUCCUAAAGUUUUGCUUGCGAAUCCAAAAGCUUUGCUUGCUGUUGAGCUGAAUCUCGUGGGCGGGACCUACGCCGAAAGAUGUAAGACACGUCUCUAUUGGCCAGUCUCGAUCGGAGUGACAGCUUGGCAACAUCCACAGUUAGUAACGAGAGAGGGAGUUCUAUUUCAUGUAGGCUACGCCGUCUAGGCUUCGCCUUAUGGGCUUGUCCCGUGCGCGCGCUUGCGCGCCCUGAAAAUUCCGUAGGCCUCCCUGUCAGCCGACAAGGAGACCAUGGCAGAGGAGAGCAGGGCGAUGUUGUUGACCGCCGCCGCGGAUUGAGAGGCACAAACGAACACCCUGUCCGUCAGGCCGACAAUCUGCUUCUUUCGGCGUAGGUCCCGCCCACGAGAUUCAGCUCAACAGCAAGCAAAGCUUUUGGAUUCGCAAGCAAAACUUUAGGAUUCGCAAACAAAGCUUUUUGAUUCGCAAACAAAACUUUUGGAUUCGCAAACAAAACUUUUGGAUUUGCAAACAAAACUUUUGGGAUUGCAAACAAAACUUUUGGAUUCCCAUUAAUAUUUUUUUUAUCACAUUAAUUUAUCUUGCAAUAAAACAUUUUUUGAUUGCAGUGUCGAUAGUUUUGCUCUCAAAUCUAUUUUUUGAUUGCAGUGUGGAAAGUUUUGCUCUCAAACCUAUUUUUUGAUUGCAGUGUGGAAAGUUUUGCUCUCAAACCUAUUAUUUUGAUUGCAUAAUAAAGACACAAAUCUACCUCCAUAGUGUUGUGUCUAAGGUGUUUCAUUGCAAUGGUCUGAAUUCGAUCGCUAGUUUCUGUAGCCUACCUCCUAGGCAAGAUGCACUCACCUCCUACUUUCUUCUCAAUGACCAGUGUCUGAAUUCACUGUAAGUUGCUUUGCAUAAAAUAAUGUAUGAAAAGGGGAAACCUACACAAUACUAUUUGUCUACCAAAUCUUCUUAAACACAAUACGAAACAUGUAUCUGCUAGAAGUAGACCAAGUGGCAAAUGUAUUGAAAUGCAUGGGAAAAAAAUUGCAAUGUCACUGGGAGCCAACACCAUUCAGCUCCAUGGUGAUGGAGCUGU